RNAcentral lists this ribosomal RNA (301 nucleotides) under uncultured bacterium. Its description in RNAcentral is "partial 16S ribosomal RNA". It matches the Rfam family "Bacterial small subunit ribosomal RNA", at positions 510 to 808 of the family's 1533-position model. The record is from RNAcentral.
CGUAGCCGCGGGAAUACGUAGGUGGCAAGCGUUGUCCGGAAUUAUUGGGCGUAAAGGGCUCGCAGGCGGUUUCUUAAGUCUGAUGUGAAAGCCCCCGGCUCAACCGGGGAGGGUCAUUGGAAACUGGGAAACUUGAGUGCAGAAGAGGAGAGUGGAAUUCCACGUGUAGCGGUGAAAUGCGUAGAGAUGUGGAGGAACACCAGUGGCGAAGGCGACUCUCUGGUCUGUAACUGACGCUGAGGAGCGAAAGCGUGGGGAGCGAACAGGAUUAGAUACCCCUGUAGUCCCUGUCUCUUAUACA